GCAACCGAGCCCCAGGUCCGGCUCUCGGGUCGGCCGGGGCGCUUUUAUUGGCUGAAAACCGAUGAUCGCCCUCGUGGCGGUCGUUCUCCGAUGAAUCACAAUAACAUUGUGUGGAUCGUACGGUCUUGUACCGACGACGCGCCUUUCAAAUAUCUGCCUUAUCAGCUCUCGACGGUUUGCUAGUGGCUGACCGUGGCUCUGGACGGGUAACGGGGAAUCUGGGUUCGAUUCCGGAGAGGCGAGCCUGAGAGAUGGGCUACCACAUCUAAGGAAGGCAGCAGGCGCGUAACUUACCCACUCCCAGUUCAGGGAGGUAGUGACAAUAAAUACCUUACAGAGGUCUCGUUAACCGAGAUCUCUCAAACGGGAAUGAGUACAACGUGAAUCCUUUAACGAGGGAUCGACUGGAGGGCAAGCCUGGGUGCCAGCAGCCGCGGUAAUUCCAGCUCCAGUAGC
RNAcentral lists this ribosomal RNA (456 nucleotides) under Neoacasta laevigata. Its description in RNAcentral is "SSU rRNA". It matches the Rfam family "Eukaryotic small subunit ribosomal RNA", at positions 173 to 598 of the family's 1831-position model. Lineage: Eukaryota; Metazoa; Arthropoda; Thecostraca; Balanomorpha; Balanidae. The record is from RNAcentral.